This 237-nucleotide ribosomal RNA is filed under the name uncultured bacterium. RNAcentral's name for it is "partial 16S ribosomal RNA". It matches the Rfam family "Bacterial small subunit ribosomal RNA", at positions 275 to 507 of the family's 1533-position model. The record is from RNAcentral.
GGCCGCGGGAAUUCGAUUGAGGGCGGACGGGCACACUGGGACUGAGACACGGCCCAUACUCCUACGGGAGGCAGCAGUGGGGAAUUGUUCGCAAUGGGCGCAAGCCUGACGACGCAACGCCGCGUGGAGGAUGAAGAUCUUCGGGUCGUAAACUCCUUUCGAUCGAGACGAACGACUUCCGGGCUAAUCACCGGGAGAGUGACGGUACCGAGAGAAGAAGCCCCGGCUAACUCCGUG